Molecule: ribosomal RNA, 497 nt
Filed under: uncultured bacterium
Lineage: Bacteria
Description: partial 16S ribosomal RNA
Rfam family: Bacterial small subunit ribosomal RNA
Source: RNAcentral
GAUGAACGCUGGCGGCGUGCCUAAUACAUGCAAGUCGAGCGAACAGACGAGGAGCUUGCUCCUCUGACGUUAGCGGCGGACGGGUGAGUAACACGUGGAUAACCUACCUAUAAGACUGGGAUAACUUCGGGAAACCGGAGCUAAUACCGUAUAAUAUAUUGAACCGCAUGGUUCAAUAGUGAAAGACGGUUUUGCUGUCACUUAUAGAUGGAUCCGCGCCGCAUUAGCUAGUUGGUAAGGUAACGGCUUACCAAGGCAACGAUGCGUAGCCGACCUGAGAGGGUGAUCGGCCACACUGGAACUGAGACACGGUCAAGACUCCUACGGGAGGCAGCAGUAGGGAAUCUUCCGAAAUGGGCGAAAGCUUGACGGAGCAACGCCGCGUGAGUGAUGAAGGUCUUCGGAUCGUAAAACUCUGUUAUUAGGGAAGAACAAAUGUGUAAGUAACUAUGCACGUCUUGACGGUACCUAAUCAGAAAGCCACGGCUAACUACGUG